Molecule: non-coding RNA, 531 nt
Organism: Misgurnus anguillicaudatus (oriental weatherfish)
Lineage: Eukaryota; Metazoa; Chordata; Actinopteri; Cypriniformes; Cobitidae
Source: the annotation of a RefSeq genome assembly
GAGUUUAUUAAAAUGUUGUGUGUAGAGGAAGUGAUUUUGAAUAAAGAGAGGAAAUGUUGAGAGGUUUAAAGUCUGGAUGACUCUGUGAUAAACUUCAUGAGCUGUUUUACACACAAACACACAACCAUGACUUCAUUCAUCUUCAUCUGGACACUGCUGAUCUUUAUUCAAGUUACAGAUUGUCAAGCUGAGAUCACAGUGAAUCAAUCUCCAUCAGUGACGACUGUUAAAGUAGGAGAGAAAGUCACUCUGAACUGCAGGACAAACACAAAUGUUGACUGUUGUUACAGCCAGGGUACUGCCAGAUCCGGGUCACUUAUGAGUUGGUAUCAUCAGAAACCUGGAGAAGCUCCUAAAGUCCUGAUAUAUCUGACAUAUAACCUUCAGUCUGGAACUCCAUCAAGAUUCAGUGGCAGUGGAUCAAACACAGAUUUUACUCUGAGCAUCAGUGAAGUUCAGACUGAAGAUGCAGGAGAUUAUUACUGUAUGAGUUUACACGGCAUCAGUGGUAGCUAUGUGUUCACACAGUGA